UCCCACGCCAUACCACCCUGAACGCGCCCGAUCUCGUCUGAUCUCGGAAGCUAAGCAGGGUCGGGCCUGGUUAGUACUUGGAUGGGAGAUCGAUUAUUUUUAAAGACAGCGCAGUGGGGU
Mustela putorius furo (domestic ferret) is the source of this 120-nucleotide ribosomal RNA. NCBI's taxonomy places the organism in Eukaryota, Metazoa, Chordata, Mammalia, Carnivora, Mustelidae. The record is from Ensembl.